RNAcentral lists this unclassified non-coding RNA (579 nucleotides) under Acremonium egyptiacum. RNAcentral describes it as "sequence contains 18S rRNA gene, ITS1, 5.8S rRNA gene, ITS2, 28S rRNA gene". The stretch from base 201 to 354 matches the Rfam family "5.8S ribosomal RNA". The record is from RNAcentral. Lineage: Eukaryota; Fungi; Ascomycota; Sordariomycetes; Hypocreales; Bionectriaceae.
UCGUAACAAGGUCUCCGUUGGUGAACCAGCGGAGGGAUCAUUACCGAGUGUAAAAACUCCCAAACCAUUGUGAACUUACCACUGUUGCUUCGGCGGCCUCGCCCCGGGCGCGUUCGCGCGGCCCGGACCCAGGCGUCCGCCGGAGGCUUCAAACUCUUGUCUUUUAGUGUAUUUCUGAGUGGCAUAAGCAAAUAAAUCAAAACUUUCAGCAACGGAUCUCUUGGUUCUGGCAUCGAUGAAGAACGCAGCAAAAUGCGAUAAGUAAUGUGAAUUGCAGAAUUCAGUGAAUCAUCGAAUCUUUGAACGCACAUUGCGCCCGCCAGUAUUCUGGCGGGCAUGCCUGUCUGAGCGUCAUUUCAACCCUCAGGACCCGUUCGCGGGACCUGGCGUUGGGGAUCAGCCUGCCCCUGGCGGCGGCUGGCCCUGAAAUACAGUGGCGGUUCCCUCGCGAACUCCUCCGUGCAGUAAUUAAACCUCUCGCGGCAGGAUAGCGGUUGAACCACGCCGUUAAACCCCCCACUUCUCAAGGUUGACCUCAGAUCAGGUAGGAAUACCCGCUGAACUUAAGCAUAUCAAUAA